GAUGAACGCUGGCGGCGUGCCUAAUACAUGCAAGUCGAGCGAACAUACGUGAGUGCUUGCACUCUCUGACGUUAGCGGCGGACGGGUGAGUAACACGUUGGUAACCUACCUAUAAUACUGUGAUAACUUCGGGAAACCGGCGCUAUUAUCUGUUAAUCUUUAGCUUCGCAUGUUGCAAUAUUGAAAGACGGUUCUUCUGUCCCUUAUAGAUGGACCCGCUGUGUAUUAGCUAGUUGGGGAGGUAACGGCUCAUCAAGGCAACGAUACAUAGCCGACCUGAGAGGAGGAUGGGCCACACUGGGACUGAAAUGAGGCACAGACCACAACGGGAGGCAAGGGAAGAGAAAGUUACGUAAUGGAAGGAAGUCAAACGGAGAAAUGCCGCGUGAGUGAAGAAGGGAUUCGGAUAUGAAAACUCUGUUGUAAGGGAAGAACGAGUACGUUAGUAACUGAACGUAGCUUGAAGGUACCUUACCAGAAAGCCACGGCUAACUACGUG
RNAcentral lists this ribosomal RNA (499 nucleotides) under uncultured bacterium. Its description in RNAcentral is "partial 16S ribosomal RNA". It matches the Rfam family "Bacterial small subunit ribosomal RNA", at positions 28 to 507 of the family's 1533-position model. The record is from RNAcentral.